UACGAAGGGGGCUAGCGUUGUUCGGAAUUACUGGGCGUAAAGGGCGCGUAGGCGGCCUUCUAAGUCGAACGUGAAAUCCCCGGGCUCAACCCGGGAACUGCGUCCGAUACUGGGAGGCUUGAAUCCGGGAGAGGGAUGCGGAAUUCCAGGUGUAGCGGUGAAAUGCGUAGAUAUCCGGAGGAACACCGGUGGCGAGGGCGGCAUCCUGGACCGGUAUUGACGCUGAUGAGCGAAAGCCAGGGGAGCAAACGGG
Molecule: ribosomal RNA, 253 nt
Filed under: uncultured bacterium
Lineage: Bacteria
Description: partial 16S ribosomal RNA
Rfam family: Bacterial small subunit ribosomal RNA
Source: RNAcentral